Molecule: long non-coding RNA, 1090 nt
Organism: Mesocricetus auratus (golden hamster)
Lineage: Eukaryota; Metazoa; Chordata; Mammalia; Rodentia; Cricetidae
Exons: 5
Source: RefSeq, a predicted model, not a curated record
AACACAAGAGAGUUCGAGAUGUGACGCCAUGGGGAAGGAAGCCGGGAACUAUUCUCCGACAGGGUCUCACGUACAGCUUGGACUGACCUGGAACUUACUAUGUAGACCAGGCUGGCUCCAAAGCUCUAGAGAUCUGCCCGUCUCUCCUCACUUGUGGAAGCCAGAGGCUGUUGUCAGGUCACACAUCCGUAAAGGGAUUCAACACAGGUGACAGAGGUUUGUAGGAGUGACUUCAGAUGUAUGUAAGGCCGGGGAAGUUCAUGGUGACGAGCUCCUACCACGGUCCGGAAUGCAAAACCAUGGCCCAGAAUUCUUAUUCUGGGAUCAUGGCAGCUCUGACUGCGGGGCCCCAUCUGAUUCUAGGAAGACUCGGGCAUCGUCCAGAGCUGUCUGAGCUGCCACCGUAAAGUUGGGGUCGCCAGAGACUGAAACGUCAAAGACGCAAGACUGGAAGUAGGCGUCUUCCACCGGAAGCCCUUCCUUACACAGCCUUCUGGCAGUAUCGAAGGCUAUAGCCCCACGGCGGCUGCGCUCUGAGCGGGACAGUCGCUGACUCGGAGGGCAGCCGCCAACACACAGCUGUAGGUCCUGCUCCGCGGAGAAGGCCCGCGCCACAUCCUCAGCUACCCUGAUGGAGAAGGAGAGCUGCCCAGCUGUCUGUCGAAUGAUUAUAGUUGUCCCAAUAUAGGCUGCUCGGAUCUCCACAUGGCUCCCAGGGCUAGCAGUUUGAAUGAACAAACUCGAGCCCCCAGGUCGGUCGCCUCCAUUGACAGAACCGUCUUCAAAGGCUGCAGGAAGAUUGUCCACCUCGGCCUGGUAGACUUUCUGGUCAAUGCAUUCCUGCAUGUUCUUAAAUAUGAUGGUGAUCUGUGCGGGCAAAGAGGAAAAUAGUUCGUUAGGACUCAAUGCACCCCCCCCCAGUCAAGCAGCAUAUAUUGUCAGGGAUCUGAUCCCAGCAGAUGCACAGUGUCCUUGAUCCCAUCCCCUACGACCUUCCAAUAGCACCCGAGCCCUAUUCAACCCCUUGGUCUUUUGUUUUUCUCAAUCACAGCGACUCCCAAGGAAAUAAAGUGUCCCUUCUGACUCCUCA